AGACCCGAAACCCGGUGAUCUAGCCAUGGGCAGGUUGAAGGUUGGGUAACACUAACUGGAGGACCGAACCGACUAAUGUUGAAAAAUUAGCGGAUGACCUGUGGCUGGGGGUGAAAGGCCAAUCAAACCGGGAGAUAGCUGGUUCUCCCCGAAAGCUAUUUAGGUAGCGCCUCGUGAAUUCAUCUCCGGGGGUAGAGCACUGUUUCGGCUAGGGGGCCAUCCCGGCUUACCAACCCGAUGCAAACUGCGAAUACCGGAGAAUGUUAUCACGGGAGACACACGGCGGGUGCUAACGUCCGUCGUGAAGAGGGAAACAACCCAGACCGCCAGCUAAGGUCCCAAAGUCAUGGUUAAGUGGGAAACGAUGUGGGAAGGCCCAGACAGCCAGGAUGUUGGCUUAGAAGCAGCCAUCAUUUAAAGAAAGCGUAAUAGCUCACUGGUCGAGUCGGCCUGCGCGGAAGAUGUAACGGGGCUAAACCAUGCACCGAAGCUGCGGCAGCGACGCUGAUGCGUUGUUGGGUAGGGGAGCGUUCUGUAAGCCUGUGAAGGUGGCCUGUGAGGGUUGCUGGAGGUAUCAGAAGUGCGAAUGCUGACAUAAGUAACGAUAAAGCGGGUGAAAAGCCCGCUCGCCGGAAGACCAAGGGUUCCUGUCCAACGUUAAUCGGGGCAGGGUGAGUCGACCCCUAAGGCGAGGCCGAAAGGCGUAGUCGAUGGGAAACGGGUUAAUAUUCCCGUACUUGGUGUUACUGCGAAGGGGGGACGGAGAAGGCUAUGUUGGCCGGGCGACGGUUGUCCCGGUUUAAGCGUGUAGGUGUGUGUUCCAGGUAAAUCCGGUUCACUUUAACACUGAGGCGUGAUGACGAGGCACUACGGUGCUGAAGCAACAAAUGCCCUGCUUCCAGGAAAAGCCUCUAAGCAUCAGGUAACAUCAAAUCGUACCCCAAACCGACACAGGUGGUCAGGUAGAGAAUACCAAGGCGCUUGAGAGAACUCGGGUGAAGGAACUAGGCAAAAUGGUGCCGUAACUUCGGGAGAAGGCACGCUGACACGUAGGUGAAGUGAUUUACUCAUGGAGCUGAAGUCAGUCGAAGAUACCAGCUGGCUGCAACUGUUUAUUAAAAACACAGCACUGUGCAAACACGAAAGUGGACGUAUACGGUGUGACGCCUGCCCGGUGCCGGAAGGUUAAUUGAUGGGGUCAGCGCAAG
Molecule: ribosomal RNA, 1208 nt
Filed under: Salmonella enterica
Lineage: Bacteria; Pseudomonadati; Pseudomonadota; Gammaproteobacteria; Enterobacterales; Enterobacteriaceae
Description: partial 23S ribosomal RNA
Rfam family: Bacterial large subunit ribosomal RNA
Source: RNAcentral